UCAGCAAACAUCAUUUGAUGCAAUCUUCUCUCUGUAUGUGUGACUGCCAUUGAGACUGAUGUUUUGGCACUCCUAAUGUCAUUAUCCCCCUUCAGAACAUUCCUUAAGCGAGCCUCAAUUCUAUCAAUUUGUUGUGUGUCCUCGAUUGGGGACCCUGAAUUGCAGUCCUUUACAUGAAUUAAUGAAGCAAUUCGGCCAUUGUGAGUCCAAACUUUAGCCUCCACCACAUCACAUUGCAGGUCAGCUAACACUGCAAAGACCUCCGAAAGAAGGCCGAUCCUGUCUGUGCCCGUUAGUUCUAAUGCUGUUAAGCCGCUAAAAUCAUGGGUUCUGCCAUAAUGAAUGGUACCAAGUGACUGCUCAAUGUAGUCAAUAACGCUCGCGUCUGUCAGUUUAUUUCCGUUCAGAUCAGUCACAUGAAAAACAUCCAUGAACC
Molecule: unclassified non-coding RNA, 436 nt
Filed under: Hevea brasiliensis (rubber tree)
Lineage: Eukaryota; Viridiplantae; Streptophyta; Magnoliopsida; Malpighiales; Euphorbiaceae
Source: RNAcentral